UACGGAGGGUGCGAGCGUUGUCCGGAAUCACUGGGCGUAAAGGGCGCGUAGGCGGCGCGGAUAGUCGGCGGUGAAAGCCCGGAGCUCAACUCCGGGUCGGCCGUGCGAACUGGGCUCACUGGAGCAUAGUAGAGGCAGGUGGAAUUCCGGGUGUAGCGGUGGAAUGCGUAGAUAUUGGCAGGAACACCGAAGGGGAAGCCAGCGGACUGGCACGGUGCUGACACUGAAGUGCGACAGCGUGGGGAGCGAACAGG
RNAcentral lists this ribosomal RNA (254 nucleotides) under uncultured bacterium. RNAcentral's name for it is "partial 16S ribosomal RNA". It matches the Rfam family "Bacterial small subunit ribosomal RNA", at positions 524 to 776 of the family's 1533-position model. The record is from RNAcentral.